GGCGUAGGAAAUUUGAGAAGACCUGUCCUUAGUACGAGAGGACCGGGAUGGACGUACCUCUGGUGUACCAGUUGUCCUGCCAAGGGCAUGGCUGGGUAGCUAUGUACGGAAUGGAUAAGCGCUGAAAGCAUCUAAGCGCGAAGCCAACUUCAAGAUAAGAUUUCCCACCGCAAGGGUAAGACCCCAGAAAGACUAUCUGGUUGAUAGGUCGAAGGUGUAAGUGUAGCAAUGUAUUUAGCUUAUCGAUACUAAUAGGUCGAGGACUUGACCAAU
RNAcentral lists this ribosomal RNA (273 nucleotides) under Clostridioides difficile. Its description in RNAcentral is "partial 23S ribosomal RNA". It matches the Rfam family "Bacterial large subunit ribosomal RNA", at positions 2650 to 2925 of the family's 2925-position model. The record is from RNAcentral. Lineage: Bacteria; Bacillati; Bacillota; Clostridia; Peptostreptococcales; Peptostreptococcaceae.